UUGCUGCGGCACCGUAAGGUGAAUAUAGCUGCCCAUUGAUGUCUGUUUAGAACCCGGUGGGCCGCAGUUCACCUACAGUGACGCAGUGA
Molecule: microRNA precursor, 89 nt
Filed under: Macacine gammaherpesvirus 4 (Rhesus lymphocryptovirus)
Lineage: Duplodnaviria; Heunggongvirae; Peploviricota; Herviviricetes; Herpesvirales; Orthoherpesviridae
Description: microRNA rlcv-mir-rL1 precursor (rlcv-mir-rL1-8)
Gene: rlcv-mir-rL1-8
Rfam family: mir-BART5 microRNA precursor family
Source: miRBase by way of RNAcentral